This 253-nucleotide ribosomal RNA is filed under the name uncultured bacterium. RNAcentral's name for it is "partial 16S ribosomal RNA". It matches the Rfam family "Bacterial small subunit ribosomal RNA", at positions 524 to 776 of the family's 1533-position model. The record is from RNAcentral.
UACGGGGGGGGCAAGCGUUGUUCGGAAUUACUGGGCGUAAAGGGUUUGUAGGUGGCUCGCUAAGUCACACGUGAAAUCCCUCAGCUUAACUGGGGAACUGCGUGUGAGACUGGCAAGCUUGAGGGCAGGAGAGGAACGCGGAAUUCCAGGUGUAGCGGUGAAAUGCGUAGAUAUCUGGAGGAACACCGGUGGCGAAGGCGGCGUUCUGGACUGCAUCUGACACUGAAAAACGAAAGCCAGGGGAGCAAACGGG